RNAcentral lists this ribosomal RNA (803 nucleotides) under uncultured bacterium. RNAcentral's name for it is "bacterial SSU rRNA". It matches the Rfam family "Bacterial small subunit ribosomal RNA", at positions 100 to 915 of the family's 1533-position model. The record is from RNAcentral.
GAACGGGUGAGUAACACGUGGGUGAUCUGCCCUGCACUUUGGGAUAAGCCUGGGAAACUGGGUCUAAUACCGAAUAUGACCAUGCGCCUCCUGGUGUGUGGUGGAAAGCUUUUGCGGUGUGGGAUGGGCCCGCGGCCUAUCAGCUUGUUGGUGGGGUAAUGGCCUACCAAGGCGACGACGGGUAGCCGGCCUGAGAGGGUGACCGGCCACACUGGGACUGAGAUACGGCCCAGACUCCUACGGGAGGCAGCAGUGGGGAAUAUUGCACAAUGGGCGCAAGCCUGAUGCAGCGACGCCGCGUGAGGGAUGACGGCCUUCGGGUUGUAAACCUCUUUCAGCACAGACGAAGCGCAAGUGACGGUAUGUGCAGAAGAAGGACCGGCCAACUACGUGCCAGCAGCCGCGGUAAUACGUAGGGUCCGAGCGUUGUCCGGAAUUACUGGGCGUAAAGAGCUCGUAGGUGGUUUGUCGCGUUGUUCGUGAAAACUCACAGCUUAACUGUGGGCGUGCGGGCGAUACGGGCAGACUUGAGUACUGCAGGGGAGACUGGAAUUCCUGGUGUAGCGGUGGAAUGCGCAGAUAUCAGGAGGAACACCGGUGGCGAAGGCGGGUCUCUGGGCAGUAACUGACGCUGAGGAGCGAAAGCGUGGGGAGCGAACAGGAUUAGAUACCCUGGUAGUCCACGCCGUAAACGGUGGGUACUAGGUGUGGGUUUCCUUCCUUGGGAUCCGUGCCGUAGCUAACGCAUUAAGUACCCCGCCUGGNGAGUACGGCCGCAAGGCUAAAACUCAAAGAAAUUGACG